RNAcentral lists this long non-coding RNA (612 nucleotides) under Populus trichocarpa (black cottonwood). Its description in RNAcentral is "long non-coding RNA (PTRI_LNC002535)". The record is from RNAcentral. Lineage: Eukaryota; Viridiplantae; Streptophyta; Magnoliopsida; Malpighiales; Salicaceae.
UUGCAUUUGGACAUGUGUGUAAUUUAAUGAGGAAAAACUAAAGAUUUCUUGUUUUUCUUAAUAAAGUUAUGAGGAGCAUAUUCUCUCAAACAUCAGAGUUUGAUCACUUGAUUGUAGUUGCUUCACUUAUGGAUUUAUUCUAGUUGUUCAAAAGCAAAUAUAUUAACUAUUCAUUUCAGAUUUCCCUGGAAGUUCAAUUUGAUUUCCAUGAUUACUGUGAAAUCAAGUGAUAUCUCAUCCUAGCAUUUAAAACUUAUGUUAGGUUUAUGAAAUUUCCCUUUCUUAUGAUGUUAUGUACCCUGGAUAAUGUUUCUGAUCAUCCUAUUUUAUUUGCUCGACCACUUAGACAUGUAUUUAAAUUGUCCGCAUGAGCUGUUUAGAUGCAUGUGCUUAAAUCACCAGUCACUAUCUGGUGGUGAUAUAAUCAACACCUUGAUUGCGGAUUCACAAAACUAAUUAUAUUACUAUCUAUAUACAGGAAGAUAGUGAGAAACCUGGCAAGGUGACCUCUGCAUGCAUUUGCUUAAAUCACCAGUCACUAUCCGGUGGUGUUAUAAUCAACACCUUGAUUGCGGAUUCACAAAACUAAUUAUAUUACUAUCUAUAUACAGG